UACAGAGGGUGCAAGCGUUGUUCGGAAUUACUGGGCGUAAAGCGCGUGUAGGCUGCAAUGUAAGUCGGAUGUGAAAGCCCUCAGCUUAACUGAGGAAGUGCAUCUGAUACUGCAUCGCUUGAGUGUCGGAGGGGAUGGCGGAAUUCCCGGUGUAGAGGUGAAAUUCGUAGAUAUCGGGAGGAACACCUGUGGCGAAGGCGGCCAUCUGGACGACGACUGACGCUGAGACGGCGGAAAGCGAGGGGAGCAAACAGG
RNAcentral lists this ribosomal RNA (255 nucleotides) under uncultured bacterium. RNAcentral's name for it is "partial 16S ribosomal RNA". It matches the Rfam family "Bacterial small subunit ribosomal RNA", at positions 524 to 776 of the family's 1533-position model. The record is from RNAcentral.